RNAcentral lists this ribosomal RNA (499 nucleotides) under uncultured bacterium. Its description in RNAcentral is "partial 16S ribosomal RNA". It matches the Rfam family "Bacterial small subunit ribosomal RNA", at positions 28 to 507 of the family's 1533-position model. The record is from RNAcentral.
GACGAACGCUGGCGGCGUGCUUAACACAUGCAAGUCGAACGGGCCCGCCCCUGUUUUUGGGGGUGGGUUGAGUGGCGAACGGGUGAGUAUCCCGUGAGUAACCUGCCCCCUGCUCCUGGAUAACUGCUUGAAAGGGCGGCUAAUACGGGGUGUGCCGGCUGGUCCGCAUGGGCCUGGUCGGGAUAGUUUCAUCUUCGGGUGUUUCGGUGGGGGAUGGGCUCGCGGCCUAUCAGCUUGUUGGGGGGGUGAUGGCCCACCAAGGCGGUGACGGGUAGCCGGCCUGAGAGGGUGGGCGGCCACACUGGGACUGGGACACGGCCCAGACUCCUGCGGGAGGCAGCAGUGGGGGGUAUUGCACAAUGGGCGGAAGCCUGAUGCAGCGACGUCGCGUGAGGGAUGGAGGCCUUCGGGUGGUGAACCUCUUUCUCCGGUGGUGAAGGCCCUGUCCGUUGCGGCGGGGUUGACGGUAGCCGGGUAUGAAGCGCCGGCUAACUACGUG